CCAGAUUGUUGGCUAAUCGCUUCGCAUUACUAAAUUGUGGAGAGGAAAGUCCGGGCAGUAUAGGGAAAGACAGUCGUUAACGACGACCGGGGGCAACCCUAGGGAAAGUGCCACAGAAACGAAACUACCUUGGGUAACCAAGGAAAAGGUGAAAAGAGUGGGGUAAGAGCCCACAAUUCUAAGCGGUGACGCCCAAGAAUAGGUAAACCCUGUUUGCUGCAAGGAGGCACACAUUCAUUAAGGUUCCCGCCGAGUGUGUGCCAUAAAAUCCGCUUGAUCUGCCGAGCAAUCGGUAGGCUAGAUAGAUGAUUGGCAUUCUGGUUCGCCAGAGUACAGAACCCGGCUUAUAGACGAUCUGGUAAA
RNAcentral lists this RNase P RNA (363 nucleotides) under Candidatus Saccharimonadota bacterium. RNAcentral's name for it is "RNase P RNA component class A". It matches the Rfam family "Bacterial RNase P class A". From Rfam's summary of the family: Ribonuclease P (RNase P) is a ubiquitous endoribonuclease, found in archaea, bacteria and eukarya as well as chloroplasts and mitochondria. Its best characterised activity is the generation of mature 5'-ends of tRNAs by cleaving the 5'-leader elements of precursor-tRNAs. The record is from RNAcentral. Lineage: Bacteria; Candidatus Saccharimonadota.